GAUAAACGCUGGCGGCGUGCCUAACACAUGCAAGUCGAACGAUCCCGCAAGGGAGAGUGGCGGAAGGGUGAGUAACACGUGGGAAUCUACCUCCUCGCAGGGGAACAACCUCUCGAAAGAGAGGCUAAUACCCAAAAGGGUCAGAAAUGAUCAGAGUCGAAAGGCGUGAGGAGAGGAGCCCGCGGCCCCUCAGCUAGUUGGUGAGGUAAUGGCUUACCAAGGCUACGACGGGUAGGGGAUCUGAGAGGAUGUCCCCCACACUGGAACUGAAACACGGUCCAGACGCCUACGGUGGCAGCAGUGAGGAAUAUUGGACAAUGGGCGAAAGCCCGAUCCAGCAACGCCGCGUGGAGGAUGAAGGCCUUCGGGUCGUAAACUUCUUUAGAGGGAGACGAGAAAGGACGGUAUCCCUAGAAUAAGCGACGGCAAACUACGUGCCAGCAGCCG
This 447-nucleotide ribosomal RNA is filed under the name uncultured bacterium. RNAcentral describes it as "bacterial SSU rRNA". It matches the Rfam family "Bacterial small subunit ribosomal RNA", at positions 28 to 517 of the family's 1533-position model. The record is from RNAcentral.